AUGGAAGCAGAACUCACAACACUAGAUACAGUUACGGUCGAAGCAGAUUGGCUUCGUCGGCUCUUGAAUGACUUGCCGGUUGUUGAGAAACCUGUACCGAGUGUCCUUAUGAAAUGUGAUAAUCAAAUAGUGAUCACGAAAGUGAACAGUUCAAAGGAUAACAUGAAGUCAUCAAGACACGUUCAGAGAAGGUUAAAGUCUAUCAGAAAAAUGAGAAACUCCGGAGUUAUUGCAUUGGAUUAUAUCCAAACAUCUAAAAAUCUGGCAGAUCCUUUUACUAAGGGUCUAUCAUGUAUUGUGAUAGAUAAUGCAUCGAGGGAGAUGGGUAUGAGACCCACAAUAUGA
RNAcentral lists this ribosomal RNA (345 nucleotides) under Triticum aestivum (bread wheat). RNAcentral describes it as "partial small subunit ribosomal RNA". The record is from RNAcentral. Lineage: Eukaryota; Viridiplantae; Streptophyta; Magnoliopsida; Poales; Poaceae.